RNAcentral lists this ribosomal RNA (255 nucleotides) under uncultured bacterium. RNAcentral's name for it is "partial 16S ribosomal RNA". It matches the Rfam family "Bacterial small subunit ribosomal RNA", at positions 524 to 776 of the family's 1533-position model. The record is from RNAcentral.
UACGUAGGGUGCAAGCGUUGUCCGGAAUUAUUGGGCGUAAAGAGCUCGUAGGCGGUUUUGUCGCGUCUGCUGUGAAAACCCGAGGCUCAACCUCGGGCCUGCAGUGGGUACGGGCAGACUAGAGUGCGGUAGGGGAGAUUGGAAUUCCUGGUGUAGCGGUGGAAUGCGCAGAUAUCAGGAGGAACACCAAUGGCGAAGGCAGCUCGCUGGGGACGGUACUGACGCUGAGGAGCGAAAGCAUGGGUAGCGAACAGG